UUCCGACCGGAACCGGCUCCGAGGACAGCAAAAUGCAGGACUGGGUGCAGAGGCUUGUCUUGGGGAGUGAUGGGAGUCUGAAAAUAUCUCACCACAGAUCCAAACCCACCCAACUACCUGGAAUUUGGAAAAAGGAAGACUAGCUUGGAUACUGGCAGAAAAGGAUGGUAGACUGGGUACUGGGAGUCUCAGCCUCAGAAGCUGGGCUACAUGGUGAUGGAGGACUCCCUGCAGCCAUCCAACUGCUGCUUCCCUCUGGGACAGUCUUUUCUGCUCUGUGGUCUACAGUUCUGACCUCAGGAGGAAGAUGAACCUGCAGAAGGGGAGAAGAUGGGCUGGGAGGAAACUCUACCUAUGAGUCAGGCACAGCCUCAGGCCGCCACAUCCAGGCUACUCUGCCUUGAACUCUACAAGGGUUGGGGAAGGACCAAUGACCAGAGCUCAGUCCUGUGGCAUCCAUUCAACUACAAGGAGGCUUGGAAGUGGAGUUCAAAUUUAGUAGGUCACAUGCCCAGAAGAGAUCCACAGAUA
Urocitellus parryii (Arctic ground squirrel) is the source of this 531-nucleotide long non-coding RNA. RefSeq lists it as uncharacterized. NCBI's taxonomy places the organism in Eukaryota, Metazoa, Chordata, Mammalia, Rodentia, Sciuridae. The record is from RefSeq and is a predicted model, not a curated record.